This 468-nucleotide ribosomal RNA is filed under the name uncultured bacterium. Its description in RNAcentral is "partial 16S ribosomal RNA". It matches the Rfam family "Bacterial small subunit ribosomal RNA", at positions 28 to 507 of the family's 1533-position model. The record is from RNAcentral.
GACGAACGCUGGCGGCGUGCUUAACACAUGCAAGUCGAACGGAAAGGCCCUGCUUUUGUGGGGUUCUCGAGUGGCGAACGGGUGAGUAACACGUGAGUAACCUGCCCUUGACUUUGGGAUAACUUCAGGAAACUGGGGCUAAUACCGGAUAUGAUCUCCUGCUGCAUGGUGUGGGUUGGAAAGUUUCGGCGGUUGGGGAUGGACUCGCGGCUUAUCAGCUUGUUGGUGGGGUAGUUGCUUACCAAGGCUUUGACGGGUAGCCGGCCUGAGAGGGUGACCGGCGACAAUGGGACUGAGAGACGGCCCAGACUGGUACGGGAGGCAGCAGGGGGGAAUAUUGCAGAAUGGGCGGAAGCCUGAUGCAGCAACGCCGCGUGCGGGAUGACGGCCUUCGGGUUGUAAACCGCUUUCGACUGUGAAGAAGAGUGAGUGACGGUAAUGGGUAAAGAAGCACCGGCUAACUACGUG